GGAAAUGAUUGCCAAUGUUCCAACCUUUCAUCCUUGAAAACUAAGUGGUAUGACCCACCAUCAUUAACACUAUAUUGCCUUGAAAGUUUUACAACAGCUCUGGCACCUAGGCUUGUAUGUUCUCCAAACUCAGCCGUUGCUUGACCAGCAGAGGUAGCAACCUUAAAUUUCAUGUUCCAAUACUGCUUGCCAACAAAAAAUUACCAUUACCAUCUCCAGGAAAUGCUUGCCCAUGUUCCAACCUUUCAUCCUUGAAACCUAAGUGGCAUGAACCACCAUCAUCAACACAAUAUUGCAUUGAAAGUUCUACAAUAGCUCUGGCAGCUAGGCUUGCAUGUUCUUCAAACUCAGUCGCUCCUUUAGCAGCAGAGGUAGCAUCCUUAAAUUUAAUGUUCCAAUUCUGCCUGCAUAUAGAAAACUUACCAUUACCAUCUCCAGGAAAUGCUUGCCAAUGUUCCAACCUUUCAUCACUGAAACCUAAGUGGCAUGAACCACCAUCAUCAACA
Molecule: long non-coding RNA, 506 nt
Filed under: Nicotiana tabacum (common tobacco)
Lineage: Eukaryota; Viridiplantae; Streptophyta; Magnoliopsida; Solanales; Solanaceae
Description: long non-coding RNA (NTAB_LNC008260)
Source: RNAcentral